RNAcentral lists this ribosomal RNA (211 nucleotides) under uncultured bacterium. Its description in RNAcentral is "partial 16S ribosomal RNA". It matches the Rfam family "Bacterial small subunit ribosomal RNA", at positions 1281 to 1500 of the family's 1533-position model. The record is from RNAcentral.
GCCUGUCCCAGUUCGGACUGGAGUCUGCAACCCGACUCCACGAAGUUGGAUUCGCUAGUAAUCGCGCAUCAGCCAUGGCGCGGUGAAUACGUUCCCGGGCCUUGUACACACCGCCCGUCAAGUCAUGGGAGCUGGGGCGCCUGAAGUCCGGGACCGCGAGGACCGGCCUAGGGCGAAACUGGUAACUGGGGCUAAGUCGUAACAAGGUAUC